This is a long non-coding RNA of Ziziphus jujuba (common jujube), 946 nucleotides long. RefSeq lists it as uncharacterized. The transcript has 3 exons. Lineage: Eukaryota; Viridiplantae; Streptophyta; Magnoliopsida; Rosales; Rhamnaceae. The record is from RefSeq and is a predicted model, not a curated record.
GGCAAAACCUCCAAAUUUCACGGCGAACGGCCUCCGGACGCGCCCGGAUCGGACGUCCGAAGUUUGGCGGCGAUUUUUCCCCUCCACCGCCGGCCACCGCGAAUCGGCACUGUUCCGGCCAUUUUCCGGCCACACGCGCCUGACAGCCUUGAUCCUCUCCUCAAGUCCGGCCUACCCACCAAAAAUCACGGCCAUCGGACCACCGACGCGCCGGGAUCGGAGCGUUUUCCGGCGAGGGGUCGAAAAUCUUCAAACGGUGAUUUCUCCGCCGUCCGACCUCCGUUUUGCUCACCGUCGGUCCCGUUGGAUUGCUCUCCUCACGAUCUACAAAUCUGCAAAAUUUCACAGCAAACGGCCACCGUCGGAAAAUACUGUUCCGGUGACGGUUGCCGGUGACGUGGCGGCCCGCCGGAAAUUACUGUUCCGGCGAGUACCCGAAAAUUCCGGCCAGCUCCAGUCCGCAGUGUUCGACCUCCUGAACCCAAAUCCGACUUCCGUUUCCGCCAAUUCGCGACGGUUUGGGAGAAUUGCGGAGCCGAAACUCGAAAAGCUUUCCGGCGAGAUUCCGACCCCGUCGGGUUCGAUCACCGGAAAGUAAGACCGAAUCCGUGAUCCUCAUCACGCGAGCUUCGAUUCGGUGCACGCGCGAGUAGUGGAGUGGAUCCCGAGGAGGAUCUUAGUUGAUUUGCGCUCUCCAGGUGCAAGUGGUGGUAGACGUUCUUCCGGAGCGAACCAAGUUUUCCGCUGCUGUUGUGUUUCGAGAAGUUUCUUUGUACUCUUUCAUUUCAGUGUAUUAUUUCUUUUCAGCCUUGUUGUAUUUCUGUUGUUUAGCACUUCUUAAAGCUCUGUAUACUAUUGGAAUACUUCUGUUUUAUUUAUGCACUGGACUGUUGUUGCUUUGAGAAGUGCUGGAAUUUGUGGAAUCAGUUUGUAGUUUGUGGGAGGA